CAGUCGCCGCGGGAAUACGGAGGGUGCAAGCGUUAAUCGGAAUUACUGGGCGUAAAGCGUGCGUAGGCGGCUUUUUAAGUCGGAUGUGAAAUCCCUGAGCUUAACUUAGGAAUUGCAUUCGAUACUGGGAAGCUAGAGUAUGGGAGAGGAUGGUAGAAUUCCAGGUGUAGCGGUGAAAUGCGUAGAGAUCUGGAGGAAUACCGAUGGCGAAGGCAGCCAUCUGGCCUAAUACUGACGCUGAGGUACGAAAGCAUGGGGAGCAAACAGGAUUAGAUACCCCCGUAGUCCCUGUCUCUUAUAC
This 301-nucleotide ribosomal RNA is filed under the name uncultured bacterium. RNAcentral's name for it is "partial 16S ribosomal RNA". It matches the Rfam family "Bacterial small subunit ribosomal RNA", at positions 509 to 807 of the family's 1533-position model. The record is from RNAcentral.